AUGUACAUUCCUAGAGCAUAGCGUUAAUGUAGCGGAUCCCAUUAAAACUCUACAGUUAAGCGCAAUCAAGCUAGAGUAGUACUAGGAUGGGUGAUUGUCCGAGAAGUCCUAGUAUUUUACAUG
Molecule: non-coding RNA, 123 nt
Organism: Picea glauca (white spruce)
Lineage: Eukaryota; Viridiplantae; Streptophyta; Pinopsida; Pinales; Pinaceae
Source: Rfam